Macrosteles quadrilineatus (aster leafhopper) is the source of this 877-nucleotide RNA transcript. RefSeq lists it as uncharacterized. Lineage: Eukaryota; Metazoa; Arthropoda; Insecta; Hemiptera; Cicadellidae. The transcript is spliced from 5 exons. The record is from RefSeq and is a predicted model, not a curated record.
UUAACUUGUACUCAAAAUGUUGUCACAAAUAAUUCUAUGUUGGAGCAAACUAUAAAAAGGUCCUUACAAUGUCUAGGUUCUUAAAGGUUCUAACGAAAGAGCAAUGGGGAGGUCUACCUUUAAGGACGGACUUUGAGGAUGAGGUUAUAACUGAAGUGGAACUCCCGGCAAAAUAUGUGGUUAUUUCAACUACUUGCACUAGGCCAUGCGUAGCCCUAGAAGACUGCGCCAUUCUUAUGAAAAGAUAUCAGGAAUAUUUUCAUUUCAAUGAACAUCAAGAUGUGCCGUUCAAGUAAGUUUUAUGGUUGGUCCAAGCAACGUAGUCCUCGAAGGGAGGGGGUGGAAGACGAACUGCAUAGAGUUCAAGCAAAAAGACAGGGAAGAAGUACCGGUAUGGAAUCCGUCGACAGAGACUAGAAAAUCCGCUGAAAAAGCCAAAGAUGUAAUGUUAUUGAAGGAUUCGUUAGGAUUCAAGAAACCUGCGACGAAGCAAGAGAAUUUAAAUAAAAUAAUGGAGGAAAUAAGGUGGAAAAAGCUUGCAGAAACGCUUGAGACAAGUACAAAAGACAAUAACAAGUAUUUUGGCAAGACAAUCGUUAUUGGAAUGAUCACCGAGGUAUUUUUUUCAGGAAACCCCAGUACAAGGGCGUUGUCAUCGGCCUUAAACUUAAUCAAAUAUGGAGUCAGACACAAAUACAUACAGAGGAAACAUCGUAUUAAAUAUAAUUUUGACCCCAUAUAUAAAACGGACGAAACAAUACCAGAAUCUGAUAUGCCAGUCUUAGGCUUAGGACCAGCUUGGAUGACACCUAGAAUGUGUAAGAUCGAGGAAUUUGUAAACUUAUUCCAGGAACCAACAAUGAAACCAAUUAACUAA